UGGGGAAUAUUGGACAAUGGGCGGAAGCCUGAUCCAGCCAUGCCGCGUGUGUGAAGAAGCCCUUUUGGUUGUAAAGCACUUUAAGCGAGGAGGAGGCUACUUGGAUUAAUACUCUAGGAUAGUGGACGUUACUCGCAGAAUAAGCACCGGCUAACUCUGUGCCAGCAGCCGCGGUAAUACAGAGGGUGCGAGCGUUAAUCGGAUUUACUGGGCGUAAAGCGUGCGUAGGCGGCUUCUUAAGUCGGAUGUGAAAUCCCUGAGCUUAACUUAGGAAUUGCAUUCGAUACUGGGAAGCUAGAGUAUGGGAGAGGAUGGUAGAAUUCCAGGUGUAGCGGUGAAAUGCGUAGAGAUCUGGAGGAAUACCGAUGGCGAAGGCAGCCAUCUGGCCUAAUACUGACGCGGAGGUACGAAAGCAUGGGGAGCAAACAGG
This 430-nucleotide ribosomal RNA is filed under the name Bacillota bacterium. RNAcentral's name for it is "Firmicutes bacterium partial 16S ribosomal RNA". It matches the Rfam family "Bacterial small subunit ribosomal RNA", at positions 355 to 776 of the family's 1533-position model. Lineage: Bacteria; Bacillati; Bacillota. The record is from RNAcentral.